RNAcentral lists this ribosomal RNA (503 nucleotides) under Bactrocera aglaiae complex sp. MAC001. RNAcentral describes it as "Bactrocera nr. aglaiae MAC001 partial large subunit ribosomal RNA". It matches the Rfam family "Bacterial large subunit ribosomal RNA", at positions 1799 to 2568 of the family's 2925-position model. Lineage: Eukaryota; Metazoa; Arthropoda; Insecta; Diptera; Tephritidae. The record is from RNAcentral.
CCUGUUUAACAAAAACAUGUCUUUUUGAGUUAUUUUUAAAGUCUGACCUGCCCACUGAAUUUUUUUAAAUGGCCGCAGUAUUCUAACUGUGCAAAGGUAGCAUAAUCAUUAGUCUUUUAAUUGAAGGCUGGAAUGAACGGUUGGACGAGGUAUAAGCUGUUUCAUAUAAAUUUAUAGUAGAAUUUUAUUUUUUAGUUAAAAAGCUAAAAUUUAAUUAAAAGACGAGAAGACCCUAUAAAUCUUUAUAUUUUAUUUUAUUUAAAUUUUUUGGAUUAAUUUUAUUUUUAUAAUUUAAAAUAUUUUGUUGGGGUGAUAUUAAAAUUUAAUGAACUUUUAAUUUUUUAAAAUCAUUAAUUUAUGAGUUAUUGAUCCAUUAAUAGUGAUUAUAAGAUUAAGUUACUUUAGGGAUAACAGCGUAAUUUUUUUGGAGAGUUCAUAUCGAUAAAAAAGUUUGCGACCUCGAUGUUGGAUUAAGAUAUAAUUUUAGGUGUAGCCGCUUAAAU